CCCAUAGAAAAUUGGAUAUUCUGGUUAGACCCCACCCAGAAACUAGCUGGUUCCAUCUGGGUGACAUUCCCAUGAACCACCGCUAUCUUAUUGCAAAACUAUCCGUUAUUACAUAAACACUCCACCCCAAUUUUUUUAUCAUCCUAGCCGUUACAUAUCCAGGGCGGGUUCGGAUUGUAUCUUUCGCGAAAACGCACGAUCGAUCUUCUUUCGUCACAUCAACCGUUGGA
This 230-nucleotide long non-coding RNA is filed under the name Elaeis guineensis (African oil palm). RNAcentral's name for it is "long non-coding RNA (EGUI_LNC006670)". Lineage: Eukaryota; Viridiplantae; Streptophyta; Magnoliopsida; Arecales; Arecaceae. The record is from RNAcentral.